Molecule: long non-coding RNA, 859 nt
Filed under: Homo sapiens (human)
Lineage: Eukaryota; Metazoa; Chordata; Mammalia; Primates; Hominidae
Description: HSALNT0153664
Source: RNAcentral
CCAGUGGAACAUGGCCUCAUGCUGCCAGGGAAAGCCCAAGAGGCUCUCCAGGCAUCAGCUUCACAGAGAGAAUCUUGAUGCCCAACAAGGACAGCAUUUUCAGAGAUGUACCCUUACAAGGGGUCCCCAUACAAGAUUGAAAUGAUAAAGAACUGAAGAUCCAAAGCCAGAGAAUGAUAAAGUAACUUCAACCUGACACAGUAAAACAUUGCAGGGAGAGUCCGGGAUCUGGAAUGAGAAUGCCACGUCCAGGCUGUGUUACCUUACAAAAAUUAUUAAUGCUUCAGUGGCCUCAUCUGCAGAAUGGAAAUACCAAUAAUAGUAGCUAUCUGAUAAGGUUAUUGUGGGGAUAGUAGGAGACAAUCCAUAAUAAUGUUUGAGUAGUAGCUGGCACAUUGUAGAUACUCAACAUACGCCAGCUAUUAUUGUUAUAGAAAAUAUGCAGAUCUGGAAUAGCUUGGAAAAUGUUUAUGAUACAAUAACAAAUUCAAAAGAAGUCUACUAAAUACUGUGUAUUUUAUGAUUGCAAUUUUGUAAAAACUAUAUCUGCUUAUGGAAAAAGAUUUGAAGAAAAUAUGCUUAUGUGAAAAGAAUUUCUUACAGUGAUGGGAUUACGUGUAGCUUUAUUUAUUUAUUUGAGACCAGGUCUCACUCUGUUGCCCAGGCUGCAAUACAGUGGUGUGACACCAGCUCCCUGAAACUCCUGGGCUCAAGUGAUCCUCCUGCCUCAGCCUCUUGAAUAACUGGGACUACAGGCAUGUGCCACCAUGCCCGGCUAAUAUUUAAUUUUUUUGUGGAGACAGAGUCUCCCUAUGCUGCCAUGCUGGUCUUGAACUCCUGGGCUCAAGCGAUCCUCCAG